GACGACAUUACGUUCGACAUUUCUUUUUCCACGAGACGCUGUUCGAGAAGGUUACCUUUUUCAUGGCUCAUGGUGGGGCACUUUAUUUCCUGACGUUUUUCGUCAAUGCCUGGUGAAGUCUGAGCUUUUUCAUUGUAUUACGUGCACGUGAUCGCUGCCUGGUCAUGAAGAGGUCUCCACUAUUUUGCAAGGCAAUUGAUAUGAAAAGAGGAAAUUUGAAAAGUGGUUUAUCAGUCAUUCAGUUGGGAGAUGCCCCGAGAUGGAUGAUCAACUGCUGGGACUUCCCUCACAUCAUCGUCUUUUUCUAUGGAGACGCUGUCCGAGAAGGUUGAGCUUGGCCAUUGCAGGCAACUUUCUAUCUUGACAUUAUUAGUCUUAAAAAUGGUUUUCAUCGUCAGUUGUUGCUCUUUGGUAUGCAGUUCAUGUUCAGGUGGUUUUGUUGCAGCCAGCUAGUGAAAGGGAGUCCAAGUCGAGUUGAGCUGUAGCUUUUGAAGCAGUCAACAAUGCUCGCGUUAUUCCGAAAUGUAACAUCAAUGAAGACAUCAUGAAAUGGUCUUGGUGACGAUGCGAUCAUUAAUCUUCUGCAUGCAGUUUGUUAUCAAGAAGUGGAGAAGCAAGACUUGAAGCAAAGCUGCAAGAAAAAGAAAUGGUAUUGACGUUAAUGUGCAGUGGUUGUCCGACUCUUCUAGCUGUUGCUUUCCUGAAUUUUGCCGGAGUCUUUGAAAUAGCUGAUCCUGUCAUCCUGAAGUUAUGAUGCCGGGGUUAUCCUGGAGUACCUGUUGUUGGUGUCUUAAGUUACUGUGGCAGUUUGAUUCGGGUUGAUAAAAAUAUUAAUAUCCAUGUAGUAUGUGAUGUAGUAACCUUAAUAAGCUAUUAUGUUUUCCAUUGUGGCAUGUUGUGAACUGAUCUUGGUCUAAAAAGCAUUUGUGCUUCCUGAUAUUUCCCUCACCCAUAUAUAUCUAAUAAUUCUUAAAAAUGGGAUGUUAAAGUGAACAUCAAAUUUUUCAUUUUGCGUAGAAAAUUAAUAGUUCAUUUAUUUUUCACUUUGUGAAAUGACGAAAUAAAA
RNAcentral lists this long non-coding RNA (1066 nucleotides) under Daphnia pulex (common water flea). RNAcentral describes it as "uncharacterized LOC124194217, transcript variant X1". The record is from RNAcentral. Lineage: Eukaryota; Metazoa; Arthropoda; Branchiopoda; Diplostraca; Daphniidae.